GUAAGGAAUAUUGGGCAAUGGAGGCAACUCUGACCCAGCCAUGCCGCGUGAAGGAUGACGGCCCUAUGGGUUGUAAACUUCUUUUAUACGGGAAGAAACCCCGAUACGUGUAUCGGGUUGACGGUACUGUAAGAAUAAGGACCGGCUAACUUCGUGCCAGCAGCCGCGGUAAUACGAAGGGUCCAAGCGUUAUCCGGAUUUAUUGGGUUUAAAGGGUGCGUAGGCGGCUUAUUAAGUCAGUGGUGAAAGCCCGUAGCUUAACUACGGAACUGCCAUUGAUACUGAUGAGCUUGAAUAUACUUGAGGUUGGCGGAAUGUGUCAUGUAGCGGUGAAAUGCUUAGAUAUGACACAGAACACCGAUUGCGAAGGCAGCUAGCUAAAGUACAAUUGACGCUGAUGCACGAAAGCGUGGGGAGCAAACAGGAUUAGAUACCCUAGUAGUCC
This 445-nucleotide ribosomal RNA is filed under the name uncultured bacterium. Its description in RNAcentral is "bacterial SSU rRNA". It matches the Rfam family "Bacterial small subunit ribosomal RNA", at positions 354 to 796 of the family's 1533-position model. The record is from RNAcentral.